UUGAAACACACUUGGAUAUUGUUAUAUAUUUAGCUGUGGCUUCAAAUUAUUUUUUAAAUUCAAAGAUAAUUUCAAUGAUUGAAGUGCAAAGUGAUAAAUUUCUGGGAACAAUAUUUUUUAUUAAACAUUAUGUCUACAGAUGAACCACAACAAAUACCGGAUAAACCUAUCGUGUGAUGUAAUUGAUGAAUUCUAUUCUCACCAACGUUCGAUUGCAAGUAGAGUGACCUUUAUGAUUUUACAAUGAAUCAGUUCCGUACUCUCUCACAAUAUUUCAACCGCAUGGUUACAUCUGUAGCCAAAGUCAUGUUGGUGAUGAAACGAAGGAUAUUACAUAGACAUUUGCUAUUUGUAUAUCAAUGUAUUUUAAUGACCUC
Molecule: long non-coding RNA, 377 nt
Organism: Microplitis mediator
Lineage: Eukaryota; Metazoa; Arthropoda; Insecta; Hymenoptera; Braconidae
Exons: 3
Source: RefSeq, a predicted model, not a curated record